GGGUUCGCCCAUUGGUCAGGCUUAAUUGUCUGUACUGGUGAGAUGAGUCUCUACCUUCUGAGGAACUUUCAUGCCAUUUAUUUGGUGUGGUUGGAAAUCAGGACUGUUACUUUGAAAAAAUUAGAGUGUUUAAAGCAGGCGUUUGCUUGAAUACAUUAGCAUGGAAUAAUGGAAUAGGGC
RNAcentral lists this ribosomal RNA (180 nucleotides) under uncultured Glomeromycotina. RNAcentral describes it as "partial small subunit ribosomal RNA". The stretch from base 48 to 180 matches the Rfam family "Eukaryotic small subunit ribosomal RNA", at positions 693 to 828 of the family's 1831-position model. Lineage: Eukaryota; Fungi; Glomeromycota. The record is from RNAcentral.